RNAcentral lists this unclassified non-coding RNA (363 nucleotides) under uncultured bacterium. Its description in RNAcentral is "contains 16S-23S intergenic spacer region". The record is from RNAcentral.
UCCCCGUUACCGGGGCAGUUUGAAUAGAAAAAUACAACUAUUCACAAGGGUUGCGCUCGUUGAUGGACUUAACCAAACAUCUCACGACACGAGCUGACGACGGCCAUGCAUCACCUGUCACUAAGUUCCUUGCGGCACAAUUUCCUUUCGGAAGCCUUCUUAGGAUGUCAAACCCUGGUAAGGUUCUUCGUUUAGCAUCGAAUUAAAGAACACGAUCCACCGCUUGUGCGGGUCCCCGUCAAUUCCUUUAUGUUUUAGUCUUGCGACCGUACUCCACAGGCGGGAUACUUAACGCGUUAGCUUCGCUACCGAGGGGGUCGAUACCCCCGACAGCUAGUAUCCAUAGUUUACGGCGUGGACUAC